UGCCAUCGAGGCCGGUCGCCCCCCGUGGCGUUCCGACUCGGACUUUGGAUGUGCUGCCGGACGGCGACGACCGGCUCAUCCCAAACGCAUUAGCCAGACCUUUUUCGGGGCCUUCUUUCGGUUCUCACUCGGCGUGAUAGGAUCGCCCGUCGAGGAACGAGAGGGGCGCCCCCGGCUUCCAGACCGCGCGUCUUUGCGCGACCUUUGACC
Molecule: unclassified non-coding RNA, 210 nt
Filed under: uncultured Basidiomycota
Lineage: Eukaryota; Fungi; Basidiomycota
Description: sequence contains ITS2
Source: RNAcentral